CAACGAGCCGCUGGAGCCGCCAGUGACGUCACGAAGCCCCUCUCUGCAGCAGAGAGCGGUAAGGCCUGCAGAGGAGGACCAGACCCGAGAAACUACUCCUGGUCUGGCAUUUUGCUUGGUUGUGCUGCCUUCCUGGAGGAGGGUAUCGGCUGAGAUACCGCUGCCAACAAUUAAACUUUGUCCAACUCCUGCUUCUAGCAUUUUACUUCUGAUGAACAUAGAAAUUACUCCUACAUCAGUUCUUCUGUUUCUCUUAUGUGUAUUCUUCUGCUCUGUCUUCUGAAACUCCCAGUCGGUCAUGGCAGAUGGCCACUCGCACUCAGGAAGGUUCUGCUGGAGGUGAUUUCUUCAUUUGAAAGGGGAGUUUUUCCUCCCCCUUACAUUUGCUACAUGAAUGGUCGUCAUAAGGGUUUUUAAGUCAAUGACGCAGUCCAAGCGAUUGCCUACUGUCUCUAUAUGUGCUCGUCCUGGAGGAGUGAAUACUGCAAGUCAAUGUCUCAGUGCAACCUGCCGGGUUUCCUGCACAACAUUGCAGACAAGCUGAAGGUCGUUAUCAAAGCAACCUGGGCUUCCUUUACGUUUCAGCAGAGACACAGACUUCACUGUGUUGAUGGAGUAAUUUAUACAAAAGAAGCCCUGACCGAGUAUUGAGCGCAUAUACAAUGUGGAAAUGCUUUCGGUUAGCUAUAUUUUGUCUUGUUUCUUUUGUCAUUUUUAAAAUGUUUAAGAAAUUGA
Molecule: non-coding RNA, 735 nt
Organism: Poecilia reticulata (guppy)
Lineage: Eukaryota; Metazoa; Chordata; Actinopteri; Cyprinodontiformes; Poeciliidae
Source: RefSeq, a predicted model, not a curated record